ACCUUGCGCGAAUGGAGCGGCCGAUGGCAGAUUAGGUGGUUGGUGAGGUAAAGGCUCACCAAGCCUUCGAUCUGUAGCUGGUCUGAGAGGACGACCAGCCACACUGGGACUGAGACACGGCCCAGACUCCUACGGGAGGCAGCAGUGGGGAAUUUUGGACAAUGGGCGCAAGCCUGAUCCAGCCAUGCCGCGUGCAGGAUGAAGGCCUUCGGGUUGUAAACUGCUUUUGUACGGAACGAAACGGCCUUUUCUAAUAAAGAGGGCUAAUGACGGUACCGUAAGAAUAAGCACCGGCUAACUACGUGCCAGCAGCCGCGGUAAUACGUAGGGUGCAAGCGUUAAUCGGAAUUACUGGGCGUAAAGCGUGCGCAGGCGGUGAUGUAAGACAGUUGUGAAAUCCCCGGGCUCAACCUGGGAACUGCAUCUGUGACUGCAUUG
RNAcentral lists this ribosomal RNA (438 nucleotides) under Variovorax paradoxus. RNAcentral describes it as "bacterial SSU rRNA". It matches the Rfam family "Bacterial small subunit ribosomal RNA", at positions 210 to 640 of the family's 1533-position model. The record is from RNAcentral. Lineage: Bacteria; Pseudomonadati; Pseudomonadota; Betaproteobacteria; Burkholderiales; Comamonadaceae.